UAGUCAUAAAGCCUUGUUCAAGCAGAUUUGAUGAGGCCAGCUAAUUUAAUUCCGAACAUUGUCUCUAAGAGGACAUGGCAACCUGCAACUUUCAGCUCAUUUUCUUUAUUGUCUAAAUGAGUUUCUGCCGAUUGUCUUUUCUCAAUCUCACUGCUUUGUCACCUUAUUUUCCAGAUGUGUUUUGUUCCCUCUGUAAUUAUCCAUAUUUCCUGUUCCAUCAAUGCUCCACUAUUUAAUAGAAAAUCCACCAGAGUUCUCUAUAAACCCUUAUCUCCAGCUAUUCUCCCUGCCUUGCUCUUACUUUUAUGCAGAAAGUUGAAGGGAAAGAACCUUAAGAUAUGAAUUCUAGUUUUGAUUCACUGUCCACUUAGGUCCUUGUUUUAUACUCCAGUGUUCAGACCACACCCUCCACCAGCAAUUUCCAAGAAUUUUCAAAGCAUUAACUAAAGUCAUGCAUGUGAAAACACUUCAUACAGUCCUAAAGGACUAAAGAAAUGCAUGUUAUCUUUUACUCACACAGAAGGCAAUGCCCAGAGGACCAUUAAGUAAGGUUUCUAGUUUGAAAGAAUUGCUGGGAGCAGCAAAAUUGCUGAAAUGAGUGGCUCCAAGCAGGCUCAGAAACCAGUACCCCCUCCCAGAGAAGUAAGGACCCCUGGACAGCAUCCCAGACAAAAAGUUGAACUCAGAGGAAAGGAGACUGGAGUAAAGAGGUACAGUCUACAAAAAAGGGACAUGUGUACCAAGAGGUCAGCGAGCCCCAGGAUGACAACUACCUCUGUACAGGAAAGAGGCCAAAUGAUGUGAGUACCACAGGUCAUUCAGAAGGGCUUUACGACCAGCAACAUAUCAAAUAUAUACUGGGUGUGAUGUCAUACAGUCAUUGUGAUAUCAUAAAUAGAGUGAGUGUGAUGACAAAGAUACAGUGGAUGCGAUGUUAUAAACGGUGAGUAUAAUGUCAUGAAUA
Molecule: non-coding RNA, 964 nt
Organism: Odocoileus virginianus texanus
Lineage: Eukaryota; Metazoa; Chordata; Mammalia; Artiodactyla; Cervidae
Source: RefSeq, a predicted model, not a curated record